Molecule: ribosomal RNA, 73 nt
Filed under: Philophthalmus gralli
Lineage: Eukaryota; Metazoa; Platyhelminthes; Trematoda; Plagiorchiida; Philophthalmidae
Description: partial 5.8S ribosomal RNA
Rfam family: 5.8S ribosomal RNA
About the family: 5.8S ribosomal RNA (5.8S rRNA) is a component of the large subunit of the eukaryotic ribosome. It is transcribed by RNA polymerase I as part of the 45S precursor that also contains 18S and 28S rRNA. Functionally, it is thought that 5.8S rRNA may be involved in ribosome translocation.
Source: RNAcentral
CAACUCUGAGCGGUGGAUCACUCGGCUCGUGUGUCGAUGAAGAGCGCAGCCAACUGUGUGAAUUAAUGUAAAC